Molecule: long non-coding RNA, 1924 nt
Organism: Dioscorea cayenensis subsp. rotundata (Guinea yam)
Lineage: Eukaryota; Viridiplantae; Streptophyta; Magnoliopsida; Dioscoreales; Dioscoreaceae
Exons: 3
Source: RefSeq, a predicted model, not a curated record
CAAAAAAACCUGUUCUAAUUAAAGGUAAGUUUCUCCACUGCAUUACAUAGUAUUAGUUUUUUCAGUCUUCCAGGUUCUUAUGUAUUGGGAGUUCUUAUGUAUUCUCAAGCACUUGUAAGCCAGGUACUAAGCCAAUUGUCUCACCUUCUGUAAUGUUCUGUUUUUUUAACUUCACCAGCUAAUUCUCUCCAUUGGCAGAAGAGCUCAAAUUCUGUAAUUUUUGUAAUGCUAGUCGAUAUUAUAUUGGAUUUUUUUUUUUUAAAACUUGUGCAAUAUAGUAUGGUUCUUAUUCAAGUGUGUACAUCCAUCCUUUCUGAAAUACUUGUAGAGUAGAUCAUGAGGAGCUGCUUCCUCUUUAGUUUGUGCAUGGAAUCCAGUGUUUAUAAGAAUACUUAAUCUUUUUUUUUUAAGCAUAAUAUAUAUACUUCAUUCUUUUACUAUUUAUUAAGAAAUCAUACUUUACAUCCAUCCUUUCUAAAAUACUUGUAGAGUAGAUCAUGAGGAGCUGCUUCCUCUUUAGUUUGUGCAUGGAAUCCAGUGUUUAUAAGAAUACUUAAUCUUUUUUUUUAAGCAUAAUAUAUAUACUUCAUUCUUUUACUAUUUAUUAAGAAAUCAUACUUUACAUCCAUCCUUUCUAAAAUACUUGUAGAGUAGAUCAUGAGGAGCUGCUUCCUCUUUAGUUUGUGCAUGGAAUCCAGUGUUUAUAAGAAUACUUAAGCCCUGUUUGGAUACCACUAAAUUCCAUAGGAAUGGUAGUGGUUCCUAUGGAAUUUAGUGAUAUGUAGGAAAUCACAAUAAUAGGUGUUUGGCUACUAUUUUCAUAGUGUAAAAAUACUGUGAAAUCAUAGGAUUCCAUAGAAUUUUUAAAAAGAAGGUGUCAUCAAAAUAUUUUCUCCCUUUGUUUUUCGGGUUAAAGAACUCGUCCCUCACGCCUUUCUUUCCCAUCGCCCGCUCCAACGCCUUCUUCCCCCAUCGGCCGCUCGAACACCUUCUUCCCAUCGCCGACUCCGGCACAUUCUUCCCAUCACCCGCUCCGGCCCCGGAACUGCCAACGAAGUUCCUGCGGUUUGCCUCUCAUCGGGAUCUCGUCACUGGUGGCUUCUCCGGAGGUGUGUGAAGAUAUUUAAAGAAAAGCAAAGCGAUCUCGCCGCCGCUUCUUCAUUUCCGGCCCGAGCAUCCUCAUCCUCUCCAGCGAUCUCGGUCCAUGUCCUUCACUUCUCUUGAUCUCUGCUCUCUGAUCUCUUUCUUGGUUCUCGGGAAUUCUUUUGGUGUUGAUGCUUCUGAGAUUGGCUAGGGUUUUUGUUACUUUUAUAUUUUUUGUGUUGAUUGUUGGAUGGAAGGAUCAUUGAGUUGGUGUUGUUUUUCAGGGCUUUGGUUCCCGUAACACGCGUGGUGCCACCAUUGCGAAUUUCCAACGAGGGUUUGCGAGAUGGCAACUCAAGAGAAGACUGACACAAUGGCUAAAUGGAAUGAAAGUCAUAAAGCUCAUAUAGUGAAAUUGUUAGGCGACUAUAAUGUUCCAGCGUACCGUUCACAAAAUGGAUGGACUAAAGAGGCAUGGAAUAGAAUAUUGCAUGACAUGGUAACGAAAUUCCCGAAUUUAAAAUGCACCGUUGUACAAGUUAAAGCGUUAGAGCAAGAGAUGAAAUAAAUUUACAAGCUUCUGAAGGGGUUUACCGAAUUGAGUGGUUUUGGAUGGGAUUAUGAAAAAAAUAUGGUCGAAGCCACUGAAGAAGUUUGGGCACCACUACUCGAGAGAAAUAAAGAAGCUAGAAGAUGGCAUCAAAAAUCCUUUCCAUAUUCGAGCUUCGAAGAAGAAAUCUUUCUCUUAAACAAUUAGCAAGUGCUUGAAAUAUACGAGGCUCCAUACGAAAUUCACGCUUACAAUGUGCGUUAUGACCUUGAAGGAUUUCUUGAACAUAUG